CCGCGAAUAGCUCAUUACAAUAGCCGUUGUUUCUUGGAUCCUCAAUUUACUUGGAUACCUGUGGUAAUUCUAGAGCUAAUACAUGCGACUAAGGGCCGAACUCACGUGACGCUUGCAUUUAUUAGAUCAAGACUAACCGGCUUCGGCCGUUAACUUGGUGACUCUGAAUAACUCAGCUGAUCGCACGGUCUAGUGCCGGCGACAUAUCUUUCAAGUGUCUACCUUAUCAACUGUCGAUGGUAGUUUAUGUGACUACCAUGGUUGUAACGGGUAACGGAGAAUCAGGGUUUGACUCCGGAGAGGGAGCCUGAGAAACGGCUACCACUUCUAAGGAAGGCAGCAGGCGCGCAAAUUACACAAUCUCAGCACGAGGAUGUAGUGACGAAACAUACCGAGGCGAUGCCCUUUCGGGUGUCGUCAUUGGAAUGAGUCGAAUCUAAAAAAUUCGGCAAGGAUCUAGUGGAGGGCAAGUCUGGUGCCAGCAGCCGCGGUAAUUCCAGCUCCGCAAGUGUAUAUCUAUGCUGUUGCGGUUAAAAAGCUCGUAGUUUGAUUCGCGUACUUAGCACGCAGUGUGGCCUUUCGGCUACUACUGUGAUGCGGUACAUUAUCGUCAGUUUGUCGUUGAUGCUCUUCAUUGGGUGUCAGCGGCGGCUGUCAAGUUUACUUUGAACAAAUUAAAGUGCUCAAUACAGGCGUUUCGCUUGUAUAGUUCUGCAUGGAAUAAUAGAAUAGGACUUACGUUCUAUUGUGUUGGUUUUCAGAACGAAAGUAAUGAUUAAGAGGGACAGACGGGGUCAUUCGUACUGCCACGUUAGAGGUGAAAUUCUUGGAUCGUGGCAAGACGAACUACUGCGAAAGCAUUUGACAAGAAUGUUUUCAUUAAUCAAGAACGAAAGUUAUGGG
RNAcentral lists this ribosomal RNA (903 nucleotides) under Halomonhystera disjuncta. Its description in RNAcentral is "SSU rRNA". It matches the Rfam family "Eukaryotic small subunit ribosomal RNA", at positions 87 to 996 of the family's 1831-position model. The record is from RNAcentral. Lineage: Eukaryota; Metazoa; Nematoda; Chromadorea; Monhysterida; Monhysteridae.